This 253-nucleotide ribosomal RNA is filed under the name uncultured bacterium. RNAcentral's name for it is "partial 16S ribosomal RNA". It matches the Rfam family "Bacterial small subunit ribosomal RNA", at positions 524 to 776 of the family's 1533-position model. The record is from RNAcentral.
UACGUAUGGUGCAAGCGUUAUCCGGAUUUACUGGGUGUAAAGGGAGCGCAGGCGGCACGGCAAGCCUGAUGUGAAAGCCCGCGGCCCAACCGCGGGACUGCAUUGGGAACUACCGGGCUGGAGUGCCGGAGAGGUAGGCGGAAUUCCUAGUGUAGCGGUGAAAUGCGUAGAUAUUAGGAGGAACACCAGUGGCGAAGGCGGCCUACUGGACGGUGACUGACGCUGAGGCUCGAAAGUGUGGGGAGCAGACAGG